This 300-nucleotide ribosomal RNA is filed under the name uncultured Fervidobacterium sp. Its description in RNAcentral is "bacterial SSU rRNA". It matches the Rfam family "Bacterial small subunit ribosomal RNA", at positions 479 to 778 of the family's 1533-position model. The record is from RNAcentral. Lineage: Bacteria; Thermotogati; Thermotogota; Thermotogae; Thermotogales; Fervidobacteriaceae.
CUGAGGAAUAAGCCCCGGCUAACUACGUGCCAGCAGCCGCGGUAAUACGUAGGGGGCGAGCGUUACCCGGAAUUACUGGGCGUAAAGGGUGCGUAGGCGGCCGUGUGUGUCUGGCGUUAAAGUCCACGGCUCAACUGUGGGUAUGCGCUGGAAACUGCACGGCUUGGGUGCAGCAGAGGCAGACGGAACUGCUGGUGUAGGGGUGAAAUCCGUAGAUAUCAGCAGGAACGCCGGUGGAGAAGUCGGUCUGCUGGGCUGUAACCGACGCUGAGGCACGAAAGCUAGGGGAGCAAACCGGAU